GGCAGGCCUAACACAUGCAAGUCGAGCGGCAGCACGGGUACUUGUACCUGGUGGCGAGCGGCGGACGGGUGAGUAAUGCCUAGGAAUCUGCCUGGUAGUGGGGGAUAACGCUCGGAAACGGACGCUAAUACCGCAUACGUCCUACGGGAGAAAGCAGGGGACCUUCGGGCCUUGCGCUAUCAGAUGAGCCUAGGUCGGAUUAGCUAGUUGGUGAGGUAAUGGCUCACCAAGGCGACGAUCCGUAACUGGUCUGAGAGGAUGAUCAGUCACACUGGAACUGAGACACGGUCCAGACUCCUACGGGAGGCAGCAGUGGGGAAUAUUGGACAAUGGGCGAAAGCCUGAUCCAGCCAUGCCGCGUGUGUGAAGAAGGUCUUCGGAUUGUAAAGCACUUUAAGU
RNAcentral lists this ribosomal RNA (399 nucleotides) under Pseudomonas sp. RNAcentral's name for it is "bacterial SSU rRNA". It matches the Rfam family "Bacterial small subunit ribosomal RNA", at positions 41 to 440 of the family's 1533-position model. The record is from RNAcentral. Lineage: Bacteria; Pseudomonadati; Pseudomonadota; Gammaproteobacteria; Pseudomonadales; Pseudomonadaceae.